UAAAGUGGUAUGGACUUUUGGUUCUGGUGAUUGCACCAAGUCAUUUAUAACACCAAUCACUGCCAAAGGCCCCACACGAUCGCUACUUGGUUUGACAUCCAAAAGCCAGUUUAGACAACUCUGGAUAUGCAUCCAUUUACAUAGUUCUGGUAAACUCUCAUUUCCGCUUGCGAAUCCCAUAACGUACAAUGUAUGAACAGGCAAUCCUGGUCCAAACUCAGCUUCCUCCACUAACUUGAAAAAUCUCCAGUCUCUUUUAUCAACUGCCUUAAUUCCCACUUGCUCCAAUACCCUGCUAAUAGCUGGUUCAAUAUCGUAUUUCCUGAAAUUGAACUUGGGCAAAAGCGACUCCACGCCUUCAAUCGCUAUUCCAGUCUCCAAUUCUCCGUCUAGAACGUUUAAUUUAGUUGAUGGCAAGUCCCAUAGAUCAGAAUCAACGAAUGAGUCAUACUCUUCAUCGAAGAAUUUUGGAGGUGGGGUUUGCUUUACCAGCAGAAAUUCGUUCUCAUUUAAGCAGUUCUUGAGGAUAAGAGCGAGAUUGUAAGUGGCCAUGUUUGCUAUGUCAAGAGUGAGAGAAGAGUGAGGGUUUUAGAGAUUGGCAGAUGGAGAAUUAAGGAGGAAGUUGCACCAAAA
RNAcentral lists this unclassified non-coding RNA (633 nucleotides) under Hevea brasiliensis (rubber tree). Lineage: Eukaryota; Viridiplantae; Streptophyta; Magnoliopsida; Malpighiales; Euphorbiaceae. The record is from RNAcentral.